RNAcentral lists this ribosomal RNA (301 nucleotides) under uncultured bacterium. RNAcentral describes it as "partial 16S ribosomal RNA". It matches the Rfam family "Bacterial small subunit ribosomal RNA", at positions 509 to 810 of the family's 1533-position model. The record is from RNAcentral.
CAGUAGCCGCGGUAAUACGUAGGUGGCAAGCGUUGUCCGGAAUUAUUGGGCGUAAAGCGCGCGCAGGCGGAUCAGUUAGUCUGUCUUAAAAGUUCGGGGCUUAACACCGUGAUGGGAUGGAAACUGCUGAUCUAGAGUAUCGGAGAGGAAAGUGGAAUUCCUAGUGUAGCGGUGAAAUGCGUAGAUAUUAGGAAGAACACCAGUGGCGAAGGCGACUUUCUGGACGAAAACUGACGCUGAGGCGCGAAAGCCAGGGGAGCGAACGGGAUCAGAUACCCCCGUAGUCCCUGUCUCUUAUAAC